RNAcentral lists this ribosomal RNA (492 nucleotides) under uncultured bacterium. RNAcentral's name for it is "partial 16S ribosomal RNA". It matches the Rfam family "Bacterial small subunit ribosomal RNA", at positions 29 to 507 of the family's 1533-position model. The record is from RNAcentral.
AGUGAACGCUGGCGGUAGGCCUAACACAUGCAAGUCGAACGGCAGCACAGUAAGAGCUUGCUCUUACGGGUGGCGAGUGGCGGACGGGGGAGGAAUACAUCGGCAUCUACUUUUUCGUGGGGGAUAACGUAGGGAAACUUACGCUAAUACCGCAUACGACCUACGGGUGAAAGCAGGGGAUCUUCGGACCUUGCGCGAUUGAAUGAGCCGAUGUCGGAUUAGCUAGUUGGCGGGGUAAAGGCCCACCAAGGCGACGAUCCGUAGCUGGUCUGAGAGGAUGAUCAGCCACACUGUAACUGAGACACGGUCCAGACUCCUACGGGAGGCAGCAGUGGGGAAUAUUGGACAAUGGGCGCAAGCCUGAUCCAGCCAUACCGCGUGGGUGAAGAAGGCCUUCGGGUUGUAAAGCCCUUUUGUUGGGAAAGAAAAGCAGCAGGUUAAUACCCCGCUGUUCUGACGGUACCCAAAGAAUAAGCACCGGCUAACUUCGUG